RNAcentral lists this transfer RNA (73 nucleotides) under Camelus bactrianus (Bactrian camel). It matches the Rfam family "tRNA". From Rfam's summary of the family: Transfer RNA (tRNA) molecules are approximately 80 nucleotides in length. The record is from Rfam by way of RNAcentral. RNAcentral also lists the same sequence under 2 other names. Lineage: Eukaryota; Metazoa; Chordata; Mammalia; Artiodactyla; Camelidae.
GAGGGUAUAGCUCAAGCGGUAGAGCGCAUGCUUAGCAUGCACAAGGUCCUGGGUUCAAUCCCCAGUACCUUCA